UACGUAGGAGGCAAGCGUUGUCCGGAGUUACUGGGCGUAAAGCGCACGCAGGCGGUCCUAUUAGUCUGGGGUGACAGUUCCCGGCUUAACCGGAAAAGGACUCUGGAAACUGUAGGACUUGAGGGCUUCAGAGGGAUGUGGAAUUCCAGGUGGAGUGGUGAAAUGCGUAGAGAUCUGGAAGAACACCAAAGGCGAAGGCGGUCUGCUGGGCAGUUGCUGACACUGAGGCGCGACAGCGUGGGGAGCAAACAGG
Molecule: ribosomal RNA, 253 nt
Filed under: uncultured bacterium
Lineage: Bacteria
Description: partial 16S ribosomal RNA
Rfam family: Bacterial small subunit ribosomal RNA
Source: RNAcentral